AUGGCCUCUGCCCAAUGCCCUCUCUCCAACAGGGAGCCCAGGAGCCAUCCAGAGGCCUCGAGGGGUGACGUCCUCGGGGGAGCAGGGCAGCCGGGCCAGCCCUGGACCCCAGGCUGGGUGGACAAGGCAGAGUUGGACAGUGCUGCCACGGGGACCUGGCCGCAGAGGGAAGACGGGCUCUGUCCGUCCGUGGCUGAGGACUGUGCCGUGGCCAUGGCCCAGCAGCCAGGUGGCCUGGGAGCACCUGCCCUCCUGGCCUGGUCCAGUAACAGGGAUGCUGUGGAGCCUGCGCUGCGGGGCAGGGCUUGCAGCCUGCCCGUGUGGUCCACUGACCAGGAGGCCAGGGGAGGGGGCAGCUCAGUGUCCUCUGGCCGUCUGUCUGGCUCCUCAGGAGGCCAUGUGUCUCGCGCCCCUCCCCACGGGCCCUGGAAGGAGCGGCUGCCCCGGGGGCUGGGGUCCCAGCGGCCGCCCAGAAAGAGUGACCCCAGGCUGGAGCGGCUGCGGGACCGGAUCUGCCAGCAGGCGCGGGGACAGGUGAGCUGCGCCUCCCUGGGCACCUCGGCCCCCUCCAGCGCCUCGCGCCUCUGCUCUGCCUCCACGCCAGCGCCCCGGAGGAGGACCUACAAGGUGACAGCCGCCCUUCCAGGCCCCGCACACUCAGGACUCAGCAUCCUCCGUGUGGCGGAGCCCCGAGAGGAAGACCAGGCGCCCCUAGGCGUGGGGCAGGAGCUCUCUCGGGCCACCCGGCACCAGGCUCCGGGUCUCCGGGACAAAGCCAGGAGGACUUGGGCCCGCUCCUGCAGAAGGGACAGGGCCCCCAGGUCACUCUCGCCCGGCAGAGCUGGCAAGGGCAAAGAUCCCGAGUCUGUCGGUAUUCGCGCCUGGAGGAGAGGACAAGAGCUGGCGCGGCUGCUGCUGGGGCCGUCUCCUGCCCGGCCCGCACGCCCAAGCACCAGCCCCUCAAGGGACCUGGGCCCUGCCAUGGCAUUAGGAGACAUCAAGAGGGCUUCGGCCACUGAGGGCUCAUCAGUCCACACCUGGCCAGACAGGCUCGCCUCGGCCGGCAGUGACCCUCAGGUGUCUGAGAACACAGCCAGCCUGGCUUGCCAUGGCCAGCGGGCAAUGAUCCACACCGCCAUGGCCAUCCUACAAGACCUCCGCCAGCAAAUCCAGGCUGGGCUGGAGCUGGCUCAGGGCCCUAGGCUUGAGCCGAAGCGCAGAGCGUCCAAGCUGAAGCCGCAGAACCUAGGCCAGCAGGGUCGCUGGAGCAUCCAGCUCAGGCAGGGCUCCUGCCCGAAGAGUCCCUGCGACGUGGUAGAGGGGACGCACUCCGCCCUAGACAGGGCCAGGCGCGCCCACCCCCAGCAGCCCUCGAGCACCUCGGCCAAGUGGGAGCCCUGUCCCUCGAGGGCCUGGGAAGCCGCAGGAUGGGACCCCUGCUUCCAGAGACCUCCGAGCCCCUCUGAGAAGCUGAGCCCCUGUGCUCAGGGGCCCUGGAGUGCCUUGCCCUGGCUGGCCUGUCCUCAGUGGGCCUGGGUGCAUAAUGAAGACUGGGAGGUCCCUGACCCCAGACCAUGGAGCCCUCUGGAACGACCAUAUCUUGCCCCUCAGCGCUCCUGGAGUGGCUCCUACUCAAAGAGAGCUAGGUCCCCCUGCAAGGGCAGAGGCGCCACCACCCCUCCCUCCAAAGCCAAGCAGGCCUGGCCGUGGAGCUUACAAGGGAAGGAGCUGGGUGCAGAGCCGUUCCCACCCCACCUGCAGCCCCGGGGGGCCCUGGGCCAGUCACACAGCUCGGAGGCCCUGUGCAACUUCCUGCACCAGAAGGCACAGGCGUGGAGGCAGCAGUCCCUGCAGCAGACGGUCACAAACACAGAUGCACUGGAACGGAGAAGCCAGAAGCUUCAAGAGGUCUACCGGAAGCAGCGGGAGGCCGUGCAGGGCAAGGCAGUCUCUGUGGUCUCCCAGACGAACCCCGGCAUCGUCACCUUCGUGUCCAGUUCUGCACAGUCUGGGGACCUGAAAGCCCCUGGGAGCCUGGAGCCCCCGGAACAGGAGUGGAGCAAAGUGACUUCGGGCAUGGUGCUGGGGAACCAGGAGGUACCAGGCAGCUUCUGUCUGUGUCUGAACAGAGCAUGGAACCGCCUGGAGACGCCCCUGCCUGUGUCUGCCACCUCCUCACUGGGCUCCGUAUGGCUCCAGGACCCAGGCCGGGGGCUGCACGUCUGCUUGGACCCGCAGAUGGCUGAGCAGCUGGACCUGUCGGGCCCACUGCACACACAGCACAAGCAGGCCCGGCUGCAGGCGCUGGAGACAAUGGCCAACGUCCUGCAGCAGCGCAUCGACAUCCUGACUGCCAAGCUGCACCGGAAUGAGGCGCCAGACAGCAGCCAGGACGCAGCUUCCGAGCUGAAGUCCCUGGGGCCCAGCACCACGCCCACUGCCCCGGCCUACCCUGGGGCUUCGCUGCCCAGGGGGGACAGAGGGUCACGCGGUGAUGACUUCCUGGAUGCGGAGCCACUUCUGUGGAGCCCAGGUGCCACGCAGGAGGGACGUUGGCAGCUGGAGCACAGGCUGCAGGGACACUCAUCUCCCUUCCAGGCCGCUGGCGCCAGCAUGGGGAGCAUGCUGGGGGUGCCUGCCGCUCCACACCCCACCUGUGGCUCCCCGUGGCUGGAGGAGAGGCCGGCGGCCAGAGGGGUGGGCUUGGUGACGCCCUGGACCCCCCGGAGCUGCGGUCCCCAGGAGCCUGGGGCGCCACGUCCCAGAGGCCGAGGUGGGCACCUCGCCGACUUCCAGCUGAAGUCCUUGAGAUUCCUCGAAUCACUGAAGCAGGACCCAGGACUUGGGCUGUCACCACAGCUGGAGCAGCGGCAGCAGCAGCAGGAGCAGGCCCUGGCCCUCCUGCGGCAGCGGGCAGAGGAGGAGGUCUGGGAGACACAGAUGGCCCUGGACGGGCUGCUCUUCAAGCACCAGCUGGAGCGGCUGUUGGAGAAACACAGGCCCCGCAGCUGGCUGGGAAGGGCUUCCAAGCUGGAGCAGCCACAGAUCCAUGUGGGCCCAGCGCCCACAGCAUCGGCCCAGAGCCCCGAGCCAGCCAAAACCAGGUCACCCCCAGCCCUGGGCAGAGACGUGACCGGGUCCUCCCAGGGUCCUGAGGAGGGGCAGGCCAGUGUGGAGGGCAAGUCGGCAUCUGCAGACACCCGCAGCCAGACGGCCGCUUCCGCCGGGAAUCGGGGCUCUUCGGUCACCGCUCCCGACAGCGCAGGACCCACAUCGCCCCCUCUGGCCCCAGUGUCCUUUCGGUGGAAGCCAGGCAGCAAGGCUGUUGUCCCAGGGCUGGCCACACCCGACCCAGGCUCCGCCCGGCUGCGCCCCGCCAGACUCUGCCCUCCGGACAGCCCUGCCCACCAGGGGAGCGCGGCGGGGACCGGGAGUGCUGAGCCCGGAGCCGGCAGGGUCGGUGUCCGGCCGUGUACCGCGGCGUUGGAGCAGAGCUUGCGGGAGGAGGGGCUGCGCGCUCAGCAUUGGGCCCCGCUGCUGCGCCUGCGCGAGAUGGCGCUGGAGGAGAAGGCGCGCGCCGAGCGGGCCUGGCUGGAGCACCAGCGAGGGUGUCUGGGGCGUGGGAGCCACCAAGCCACAAGGGCUGCCUUGUUGGAGAGGACGCAGGCCCUCAGCAGGCUGGAGAAGGAGUGGAGGGAGAUCCGGGACCUGCGGGACCUGCACAGGUCAGUGCUCCAGGGCAGGCAGCAGCUGCUGCAGCAGCAGGAGGCCACAGUGCAGAGGCUGGCGACAUUGCAGCAGAGUCCCAGCCCCCAAGUCAAGCCCACCUGGCAAGGAGCCUCUGAGACAGGCCAGCAGCUGGAAGGAGCCCUGUGCCCCCAGACUGCAUGGAGGCCUGGCAGCCCCGCCAGCCCACAAGCCCACAGAGGCCCUGAGAGUGCAGAGGGCGCACGCCUUGCCCCUGAACCGUGGGAGGAGACACCCCAGACACCUGCAGAUGCCGCCGGCCACCAGCAGCCACCGAGUCCGGCCUCAGGAGGGGACACAGCCGAGGCCAGCAGCCUCCCGAAGGCGGGAGGCAGCCACAUAGACCAAGAGCCUUGUGACCCUCAGCUGGGCCAUCUGCACUCAGGCUCGCUGGACCCUGGACAGCUGUUGGAUUCCACCUAUCCUGCCCUCGAGGCAAAGAGGGACAGCCCCAUAGCUCAGCUUGGGGUGCAGGAGGCACCGGAGCCGCCCACAGGGGACUCUCAGACCCAGGCCAGAGCCUGCUGGGCCAAGAAGAGACCCACGGCUCCGAGGGAUGUCAGAGCGCACAGCUUCCAGGGACAUCGCCUAUACCACCUGGGGGCAGAUGGUCCUCGCUGUCCCCAGGAAGCAAGUAUGGCUGAAGGAAGCACACACCAAGCUGGACUAGAUGUUGCUGGGAGCCCCGUGGGGGAGCCCCUGGAAGUGGCGAGCAGGCUGCCCAGGGAGCUGAGGACCGAGACCUGUUGGCAGGACAGCAGCAUCCCACUGGCCGCCUCCCCAGCUCUCCCUGUCUCAGCAGCUCCUGCGGCCCUGGAGGAGGAGGCGGCAUCCCCCACCCCGCCCAGGCCUGCUACCCCUGUGCACCCGGGCUCCGAGCCUGCAGCUGGGCUUUCCUGGGCGUCUCCGCGGUCCCCGGCGUCAUCCCCUCUGUCCUCAGCAGGCUCUGGGAGUGGCCUGGCCUGCUCCUCCCUCCAGGAGUUUCAGAAAGCCACAGCCACCCUGGUGCAGCUUUCUGACCGCUCGCUCUCCCCGUCCGGCCCAGAGGCCGAGGGCAGCCCAGGCACAGACCCCAGCUGGUCUGAAGAGCUGUCUGUGCCCGGGGACUUGGGCCCACCCUCGUCUUGGGGGCUCUGCCAGGGUGACCCUCAGUGGGGUGCUGUGCCGGGGGGUGCUGGGCUGACGACCUGGCCGGGGCUGGAGUGUGGCCAGGCUGCCCCCCCGCCUGGUGCUCCUAGGGAGGUGGCUGCGGCAGAAGACUUGGUCCCAGGGCGGAGCUGUCUGCAGACAGGCUGGCCACUGCCACCUCAAGAUGUCUGUUCUCCAAGGUCCGGGUCGGAGCUGUCAGAGGCCUCCAGCCAAGUUUGGGAUGAGGACAUUGAGGAGAACCUACUAGAACCCGGCCUGGUGGCCCAGCCCACCUCUGGGUGCUCCUCGCCUCCUGGCUCUUCCAGCUGGGAACACAGCAUGGUUGGGCCUGCCCUGGGCUCGGGGCAGGGACAGGAACCUUCUGAAACCAGCGAGAGCCUGAGUGGGGGGUCAAACACAGGGAGCCCUGAGCAGUUGUCCUCCGAGGCAGCCUCCACCAGUGACCUAGACCUGUCACUCUCAUUUCCUUCAGGGACUUCUGCAUCCAGAGGGGCUCGCUGCCAGGAGAGGGCCCGGGGGGCUGGCCCGAGCCUGUCCCCUGGAAGGAACCCCCCACAGGCCUCUCCAGGGCCUGAGGUCCCCUAUGGGCUGGCAUCCCUUGUAGCCGAGGGCCAGGCAGCUGGGUGUGCAGGGAAUGAGGCCCCCCAAGUCCCAGAGCAAGCUGGCCCCCCGCCCGGCACUGGUUUCCCAGCUGGGGCAUCGUCCCCUGUGGAUGAGGAGUGGCGGUGUGGCGGUGGGGACCUCCCGUGUGCCCCCUCCUGGGAUGCCCACCUCCCCCCACCGCCUUCCCCUCCCCCUGCAGACAGUCAUGGGGAUGAGGCCCAGCCCUGCUGCGAAGACUUCCCUUCCCCGCCCCAAGAGGCCAUGGUUCCCCAAGGCUCCCUGGGCCCCCUGGAGGAGGACAUCUCCAUUGCCACCCAGGACUUGUCCUUGUCCGAGGGGGCCCCAAAGCAGGCUCUGUCUCAGGGUUCCCAGGAGUUGGGACUUGAUCUGAGGGCAUCCUGGCUGUGCAGGGGCCCUGAGUGUGAACUGGGGGGGUUAGGAUCUGCAGUGGGGACUCAGGCCUCCAGUGGCCAGUGGUCUGAACAGAUCACCUGGCCAGAGUCGCCCUUGGGUGGAGGGGGAGGCAGUGUCCCUGGGGGGCUCCCAAGAGCACCAACAUGGCCCUCAUUCCCAUCCCGAGGGGGCUGUGUUGCCGGGGAGGGUCUGUCUGGGCUGUUGGUGGCUGGUGACCCCGAUGUGCUGAGUGUGGGACCCUGCGCUCUCAAGAAGGCCUUGGGCAGGUGCAUGGGACCCCAGGAUGGGCUGCAGUGCUUUGAGAGUACAGGGCGCCUGGGAGGCUCCAGCAGCUCCUCCGCCCCUCCCCAAGACCCGGUGCCCUUGGUGGCCCAUGGUCAGGCGGGGUCCCUGGGGCACACUGGUGAGGAGGGUGUGGAAGGCCUGAGCCACUGGGCAGAGGACUCAAUGGGCAGAGAGCUGCUCCCAGGGGAACACUCAGCCACUGGCCACCAGCCCCCGGGAUCCUGCUCUAAUUUCCUGGGCACAGAGAGGGACGACGCAGUGGCCGUGGUGUCCACCCAGCUCACCCAGAGGAUCCUGUUGGACUCCAUGGCUGUGUUGGCCCCUGGGGGCAGCCUCUAAACACUGCGAUGUCACUCUGUGACCGUGUGUGAGUGUGUGUGAGUGUAUAUGUGUGUGCGUGUGUGUGCGCAUACACACAAGAGCCUCUGGAAGCUAGCCGUUUCCUCCUGGGGUAGACGGGUCAGGCUGGCUGGCCAUCCACGGCCAGCUGUGCAGGAAGUCAUCUGACAGGGCGUCCGCUAUCUGCGAUUCUCUGCUUGUGGGCUGCAUGGCUUCCGGGUUCUCAAGGCCCCUGGCCCAAGUCAGAGAGCAGCGUGGCAGAGGCUGCGUGGGCAGCACAGAGGCUGCUGCUCAGGGCAGGCCGAGGAGCACUGCCCCAGUGGGCCUAGAGGACAGAGGGAGCAGACAAGACAGGGUAGGGCGAGGGCAGGAAGAGCCGGGGAGUGUGGAGCUGGCCAGGGCUGAGAGGAGACAGGACUUGCAGGGUGGCAGCUCAGGGCCUGCAGGUCACUUCAGCCCGGACCAGCAGAGCCUGGGGCCCUGGGCUUGUCCCCUCGGAUGGGGUCACUUCCAGCGUUGUGGGUGCCUCUGUCUCCGGUGGGCUCUCUGGGUCUCCCGGGCCCCCCUCCCUUUUCUCAGGGUCCCUGCAAGGCCACCCUGCCUCGUUCAUGUCCCAGUGAGCUCCGUACUGGGGGACCCUGAGUGGUUCUUUGGGGAGGGGGAACAUGGCUCUGUCCUGUGUCUCCUCUUUGCAGAGGUGCCCCCUUUCUCAGGACAGGUGUCCCGGGGAAGGCUGGGCUGUGGGCUCCAGCACCCAGCACCGCCUGUGUGGGGAGAAGCCAUGGGGCCGCCCCAGAGCCGCAGACCUACAGGGUCCCUGAGCGUCCCCGAUUCCACAAGCCUCUGAUAGUGCUCAGGUGUAUCUGGGAGGAGGGGGUGGGCCAGCCACAUCCCUGGGCUUCCUGGAGCGGACAGGUCCUGCAGAAUGGCCACCUGUGCUGGCUGUGCAGGAAGUCACCUUUGUGACCGUCCCCCAGGAAGUCCACCCACUUCGCUGAAGCCCAGCACGGAGCAGCGCCACAGCCACUAGUGCCAGGCUUGGAUCACCCAGGACCUCCCCAUCCACCCUUGCCCCGAGGCUAGGUGGUAGUGGGGAGUGGGUGGCAUGGGGCAUCUUAAAAUCUCAUGUGAGAGCACAUUUGGGCCUCACUUGAAGCUGCCGCAGACCUGUCCGGGGACCCAGCCUGGCAGGACAGCAGUGUCUGGGGCAGGCUGGCUGUGGGCGGGUGUCUGUGUGCUUGCUGCUUCUGUCCUGAACCUGUACCUGCCCUGCCCGCAGGGAAGCGGCUUCACACCAGCCCAGCGGCGGGUGCUCUCACCACAGAUGCAGCUUUCAGAUCUGCUUUCUGACUCCCAACCCAGGGUUUUCUGAGAGGACCUGGAGCCUGUGCUGGGAGCUCUCUGAGGCUACGCUCCAUUCCUGAGGCAGCACGCAUGUGUGUCCGUGUGUGUGUGUGUGUGUGUGUGUGUGUGUGUGUGUGUGUGUGCACACGCGUAUGUGUGUGUGUCACUCUUCUUCUAGCCAUCCCUGGUCAUUCACCAUCCAUAUACUCAUCUGUCUGUCUGCCUACCAGUCGGUGUGUCCACCGACCUUUACCAGCUCACUUCCAAAUCAUUACAAAUCAUUGUGUUGAAGCUGAACACAAGCCUGUAAUCCCAGCUACUUCAGAGGCUGAGGCAGGAGGGUUGCAAGCUCAAGGCUGGCCUGGGCAAUUUAGCGAGACCUUAUCUCAAAAAAUAAACAAAUACUAGAAGGGCUAAGGGUGUGGCUCAGUGAUAGAGAGCCUUUGCCUAGCUUAGGUGAGGCCCUGGGCUCCAUCCCCAGAGCGUCAAAAGCAAAGACAACCAAAAAGCCAAGUGUGGUGGUGCGUGCCUAUAAUCCCAGCACUGAGGAGGGUGAAGCAGGGGGAUCACUUGAGUUCAAGGCCAGCUUGAGCGACAUACUCAAUUCAAGACCAGCCUGAACUAUAUAUAUAGCGGAAAAAACCCAAAAGUUAACGUUAAAAACCCAGCUAGAACCCCAAAUGUGCCUAUGAGUUCCUUCCUGUAGCUCUGGCAGCAGCCGAUGUGACGGGAAAGGGUGAGGACAGGUGCUACACAGCCAGCGGCUUUGGAAAGUCUGUGCUGGAGCGCUCUGUGCAACACAGAGCUGGCUCAAUGCACAACUUCUGUGUUUUUAUGGAUCAGUUCAAAUUGAUGUUUAAAAACCCACUUGAAUAAAGACUGUAGACUAUGAAAGGAUUGUCGUCAGGAGAUUAUUUUCUCCUACUUCUGUACUGUCUGGUUUCCGUGGGUGACACUAUAUUCUAAACACUUUCUAUUCAGACAUCAUUCCCAUACCACGAAGCUCACCUCUUUGAGCUGUACACAUGAAUUUUAGCAUCCUUAGAAUAUUGAGUACGGGGCUGAGGAUUUAGCUCAGCAGCACAGUGCCUGCCUGGCAAGCACAAAGUCGUGAGUUCGAUUCCGGGUACAGGAAAAAAAACAAACCCCCCCCCAAAAAAAAGAAUAUUGAGUAAUUCGCCUGCAGCCCCCCACUUCUUGAAUUAGGUCCCUUCCUGGGUGGGUCCAGGUUGACAAGCAGCGCUGGCCAUGGAGAUAGUGGAGUCCAGCGCUGACCCUCAGGUCUCUGUUCCUCCCUCAGCCUCGGACCUGCACCUAACUGCACUUGGGGGCCGGGGACCUGAGCUUCCUGCCCCUGUGUGGCUUUAUUUUUAUGAGCAGGUGCUUGCAGUACACCAUAAGCACAUUCCUUGCGGGGAGUUGCCACCCGGCCAGGACACAUCUCAGUCCCUUCUCCUCCCCUUCUCUCCCCCCUCCUUCCCUUGCUUGGUCCCCUUCCUUUGUGCAAAAGACCUACCUCCCAGUUCCUAUUGUCCAUCCCUUGUCUUUAUUUAUACUUUGGAUUUCACAUAGAAGGGAAACCACGAGGCACCGAGCUUGUGCGUCUGACUUUUCUCACCGAGUGAGCAUUAGGGUUUGGUGGUCACCGGCUGUGUUGGGCAUGGCAGGAGCUGGCAGGGCAGAGGUCUGAGGUGCCAAGUCACAGGACAGGGAGCUGCCAGUGCCCUCUGGCCUGUCCCUCCGGCAAGGACCCUUGGGACACUUUUGGGGAGAGGCAGGGCCCCUUCCAGAGAGCUCCUCAUGGAGCCACAAUCUGCCACGUUUCAGGGACAGUGCUUGGCUCAGGGCCCUUCUUGGGCACCUGUGCCUAAAGACAAAUCUCAUUGAGGGAGGCACCAGCCACGGUGUCACCUGGUUCUUUCCCAGCUUUCCCAGGGCACAGAGCUCUGGGUCCAGUGGGGGAAAGUUGUCCCCUGUGUGUGUGACUUCACAUUUUGAGCUAUAGCUGUCUUAUUGAUUCCCUUCUAGUUUUCUGAGCAAAUUAGUCUGUAAUUUUUUAUUUUUUUUCUAUUUAUUGCUGACCCUUUUGGAUUUAUGAGGCCGUGUGAGAGGAAUUAUGUAUUUUACACACAUGCGUUUGGCACGGCAAUAAAUCUCUUACAUUGAAACUCUGCAGAUUUGCCUCAAAUUCAAUACCAAAACUCAAUCUCAUUGCUCGGGCUUCUUGCCAACAGCUCGCAGUGUUGGGGUACACGUAGGAGAACCAGGGUCUCCCCAGAAUGUUCUGACCUGGGAGCCUGGCAGGUAUAUCACAUUGCCAGAGUCAUUUUCGGCCUUGGCAUGGUGCCCUUGAAGGGAGGCUGGGCACAGGAACUAAUGGCAAAGCAGGCCAUGCCUCCUGUGACAGUGCUGGAGGGGGCCGGGGCUAUCAAACGGCUGUGGUGGGCGGAGGAAAAGUAUAUCCAUCGAAGGUGCUGGACACAUUUUAUGUCCCGACGUGUGCAGAGCCCGGCUCCAGCAUGCAGAUGCAGUGACCGGGUGAAGCUGUCCCACAGGACCCUCCCUCCAAGGUCUCCGGCUCUGAUCUUCGGUAACCACUCAGCCCAAUAAAUCCUGACACCAGUCUCGGGAGAAGUCAUUAUGUUUCAUAGAAAGUGGUUAUUUCUCUGUUAAACCCCACGUUUAAUUUUCCAGCGAUCUGUCUCUUUCUGCAUCCUGCUUAUUGCGUCCCUCCUGCAUAGAAAACCAUCCUGCCAUUGGCCUUUGUGCCCCACAUCCCACGUCACCAAGGGAGCCUCCCAGGUCCUUGGAUUCCCGUCCCUGCACAGCCACUCACACAGCCCACACCAAAGGCCACCCUUUCAGUUUACAGAGUGACAGCCGUGCGCUGCUGGGGUGCCAUGUCCACUGCUGCUCUCAAAAUUCUUGGGGUGAAGGACUGUAGAGGAUGAAGAAAUAAAGACAAGGAUCAGGAAGCAGAAAGCUAAGGUCAGGUGGAGCCCCCUCUCCAGAUGGGAGAAAGGAACUGCUCAAGGACUGCGGUGCAUUUACUUACACACUCGGCAGGUUGAUGUCACGUGCAGCCUCUGUCUAGCAACCUGCUUGCCUGGCUGCCUCAGGUUCUCUGUGUUCUCAGAGCUGGAACGGCUUGUUCAUGUGGCUGGCCUCGGGCGCUCUGCACGUGUGAUCAAUCUCCAGUUUCAGCCGAUCCCCACACUGGGGGACACGGUGGCACUGGUUCUGACACGCCAGCAUGCCCACACCCGGGGUGUUUGGUUGCUGGGGCUGGGAGCCGGGUAAGCUCACUUGCCUUCCAAAUGGGGCUGGCCCUGUGCCCAAGAUGCCCUGCCCAAACCAAACCAGGCUCAGGAAGUCAGCCUUUCCCAUGCUAGCACCCCAAGUGGCCUCUGGGACCCCAAGAAAUAUACAGAGCUCAUCCUUCUCCAGGGCCCUGUCCUGUUUGCCCACACCAUGGCAACCACGCCCAUCAAGCUGCUUUUCUGCAUUGCCCCCAACAACUGUCUCCCUUUGCGCCAGCUGAGGCCCCUCCCUGAUGUCCCAAGGACACAGAAGA
Molecule: long non-coding RNA, 11455 nt
Organism: Chinchilla lanigera (long-tailed chinchilla)
Lineage: Eukaryota; Metazoa; Chordata; Mammalia; Rodentia; Chinchillidae
Source: Ensembl